GACGAACGCUGGCGGCGUGCUUAACACAUGCAAGUCGAACGCUGAAGCCCUUUCGGGGGUGGAUGAGUGGCGAACGGGUGAGUAACACGUGGGUAAUCUGCCCUGCACUCUGGGAUAAGCCUUGGAAACGGGGUCUAAUACCGGAUAGGACACAUCGCCGCAUGGUGUGUGUGUGGAAAGUUCCGGCGGUGCAGGUUGAGCCCGCGGCCUAUCAGCUUGUUGGUGGGGUGAUGGCCUACCAAGGCGACGACGGGUAGCCGGCCUAAGAGGGUGACCGGCAACACUGGGACUGGGACACGGCCCAGACUCCUACAGGAGGCAGCAGUGGGGAAUCUUGCGCAAUGGGCGAAAGCCUGACGCAGCAACGCCGCGUGGGGGAUGACGGCCUUCGGGUUUUAAACCUCUUUCGACCGGGACGAAGGGUGACUGACGGUACCGGUAGAAGAAGCACCGGCUAACUACGUGCCAGCCGCCGCCGUAA
RNAcentral lists this ribosomal RNA (481 nucleotides) under uncultured bacterium. RNAcentral's name for it is "partial 16S ribosomal RNA". It matches the Rfam family "Bacterial small subunit ribosomal RNA", at positions 28 to 523 of the family's 1533-position model. The record is from RNAcentral.